Molecule: long non-coding RNA, 4359 nt
Organism: Felis catus (domestic cat)
Lineage: Eukaryota; Metazoa; Chordata; Mammalia; Carnivora; Felidae
Exons: 2
Source: RefSeq, a predicted model, not a curated record
CUCCUGCGGACGGGAAAACGAGCACUGGGAGGCAUUCAGCUCUCAGGCGCUGUUUCUUCUUAGACACAAAAGGCCGAAGUCACCGAACGCUGUGCAAUCACAAAUCUCAAACACUCAACUUCCCCCAGACCCACCGCUCGGGCAGGCUGUGUGUGCCCUGCAGCCACCCUCCGCCCUCAGGUGCCGGGCUGUCAGGGGACAAGCACGGACCCAGCCACCCCCACACGGAGGACUCCUUCCGAGGAUGCCACGGUGCGACCACACUUCCUAUUCCCGGGGACGUCUGCGCUCACCCAGCGUGAAUCAGGCGUCUCCAGGGAAGCCUGAGCUGCUCUCUCUACAACACAGGCCGUGACACAGAGAAAACCAGUCUCCACGGCGUCAGUCACCAGUCACCACCCACGCACUGUUCCCAUUCACAGGUGCUCUGCACUAGGACCCCCACUCUCCACACGCUGACAGGCCCUUUCCCCGAAGAGCGGACGGUAACCGUAAGACGUUGCCUCCCUGACGCCUGCUCUACAGUUUUCCAGGUCUCCCCAGCGCUGUGCAGUGAGGAAGGCGGCCCUUCCACAGAUGGGAAAAUGAAGCGGCCUCCAAGCAACGCGACCCGCCAAAGGUCACACAGGCUACAAAACGGCAGAGCCCCACGUGGAUGCAAAUCCGUGGAGUCCUGGUUCCAAACUGCCCCCAAACAGCACUCUGCACCAGCUACCUCGCUUCCCCUGCUUCUGUCUCUCAAAUGAAAUCUUUCCUGGGACGUUGGCAGGUGGAACGCGUGUUAAGUGGCGCUGCUCCGGCAGCCGCACACGGCCACGCUCCCCGCGGUCACCCCCAGAGCCCGAAGGACCCCGGAGGAAGGAGAGCCUUUCCAGUCCCUGAGCCCAGCCAGUCAGAGGCUCUGGGCCUCAGCUCCCUCCUGUGCAAAAUGACACCUUGGACCAGGGAGUCCCAGACCCUUCCCAGAUGUACCAUUCUACCCUCUGACAAAAAUGCUUGUCUCGUUGUUCUCGUUUUAUCAUGACACGGGAUAAACCAAGCCGCAAAAACGCUCUAUACACAACUGAUCGAGAUUAGGUUAAAAAUAGUUGAAAAGAUCAAAAAGUAACAAAACAAAAAACUUUGGACAGCUGAGAUUCUAGGACCUUUUUCCUCUCUACUUUUCUAAACUUUAGACAAGGAGAAGGUAUUUCACAGUUAAGGAAAUAUAUUUCAAAAGCUAAAAAUUUCUCAGGAAGAUAAAAACCACCCUGAGAGAGACAGGGGUUGCCCACGACCACGGAGCCCAAGUCACGGCCCGUCGGUGAGCCCUCUCAGAGAUGGAACCUACAGCUGAAAACUCAAAGUUCAGGUGCUGGCUGGAUUCCUGCUGAGUCAUCAGGAGUAUGACCUCUGAACAACUGUAAAACCAUUAACAAUUCCUAAAGCUGGAAAACCUAUAAUCUCAAAUCCGAUCCAACUGCUGAUGCGGUCUUGGGGAACCUUGCUUUCUCCGAUCCCGGUGACCUUCGAUCUUCACAGGCGGUUCUAGAAACAGACAGCCCUGCUUUGUACCGCUCUGACGGAGCCAGUGAGACAUGGCUCAAGUACCUGAUUCGUUUUCUGGAAGGCUUCCAGGGCAUUCAGCCAGCCGGCCACCGGCCCCUUAUCAUCGGUUGCGCCUCUCCCAUACAAUUUGCCUAGAACAGCAAUCAGCAAAUUCAGUUACAAUCACAAUGAAAUAGAAAAGAAAGUGCAUUUCUGGAGCUCAUCUGAUACCAUCUUCGCGCACCACACGCAGCCCCUCUUCAAACCAGGCGCCCUGUUUUCGUUCUAUCGAAAGCCCCACGUCUCCAUCCGAAAUUAGAUUAGGAUUCGCUAUGAUCUAAGAGCAAGCCAUGUGGACGCCCCCACGCUCCCCUCCCCUUCUUCCGCAGACACAGCAGUUAGUGCUCACGUUCCUCCUGACCCGGGGCGGGGACUGCAGGCCCAGCCCCAGGAGGUCACUACCAGCCGGCCAGCUACUUAAAAUCUACUUCCACGACCACCGGGCAGCAGUAAGGGUAGGCAAAGUGGUCAUAUGUAGGACCCACGGUGCACCAUCAUCGAGAGAGAGCUGUCUCCCUCAACCUCAUUUGGUAAAGGAAGGAACAUGUUUACUCUUCACUUCUCCAGGCCAUCACUUGGAAAACCAGAGGACACAGUAUUGCCUCUCCUCUGUGAAAUCAGUCACAGGACCCACCCCCCCGCUGCACACUCGCUCCUGGGACCCCUUACAGAGGGAGGUGGCUGGGCUGGGCACUGCCUGCCACCACGGACACUGGGGAAUCAAGCUCAGGCCCUCCUCCUGCCCCUGUCACACGGUGUGGAGCUCGGCACAGGGAGACCAGGACAGAGGAAGGACGGCAGCCCAGCGAGGGCGGGCUGAGGCUCAGCCCCUCUCUGGCCUGUUCUGUGGUGAGCAGUCAGUUCUCUGACUUCCUCAUCCUCGGCUUGCUUUUAAUGUUGGACACGUUCAACGUGACCACCCCGAAGCGGCGUGAGGCUUCAAGCCAUCACCACCCUGGGAAUUUCUUUUUAUGAACUAAACCAGCUUUUCGCAACAGCCGCAGAGCCCUCCUGAAAAGCAUCCUUGUUCCCACGACAAGCACUGACUGCAUCACUCCGACGAGCCAGAAUGCGCUGGACAGAGGUGCACGGAGGCGCCGUGCUCCCUCCCUCCAGGCCCCGGCCCCGACGAGGCGACACAGGUCACCACCAGCUGACCACAAGGUGAGGAGCUGGUGCAGCUUCACCCACUCCCGGGACUCCGCCGAGGACACCACUCUGUGUGUCAGAACCGGGGACAGGCUGAGCGGGAGGCCUCACACGCCAGCGCCGACGCACAAGCAGGUGUUCCUGUGGCGCAGGUGAGGAGCCAUGAGGGGGAGACGGGGGGGAGGCUGAAGAGCCACGGAGUCUCCCGAGAGGUGUCGGGACAGACACAUCAUGCUUUGGUCAUCACGUGGCAGGAAGAAGAGAGGGGCAGGACCCACAACAUCAACAAGCCAUGGGAGAGUGUUCAACAGGGGAAGAGCGGUGGCCGGGGAGAAGGCCCAGCAGGCACCGGGGCGUGCACAAGCAGGGGGGGGGACUGGCCAGGUUUCCGGUGCGUGUGGCGGGGGAGACGGUGACAGAGGAAACAAGGGGGAAGGGCAGGCCGGAGAGCAGACACGGACUUGUGUUCCGGACAGUGGCAAGCGGAACGGCCCGCAGACGUGUGGGUCUGACGCUCGAGAGAAGCCGAACAGCAAGUCACAACUGCACCGCGAUAGUGACGGCCACGCGGAACUGGGUCUCCUCAGAGAUGCUGCUCUAAGUGAAAAGGUUCCUCAAGUGUGCACAGUAAUGAACACGGCUGACACUGAGCCGGGGAAAGGUCUGAACAGAAACUAAACGCUUCCAGUGAGAAGGGCUCUGAUGAAAGAUGGUCUGGACUUUGCCCCAGGGGGCCGGGUACAAAUGAAGGGGCUUUUUCCUCUGGCCAGAGAUGGCCAAGUAUGGAGACAGGGAAGCUCAGGAAUGAGUGCACGAAGAACCUUUAUACCGGACAGGGACAGGAAGAAAGAGGCCGGCCUGAGGUGGGUCCUCGGUAAAGACGGUCAAGUGCCUGUGGGCACGUGGCCGGGGCGGCACCCACUGACUAUUACUGAGUGACUGUUAUGUCCCUUGCCACGGGAGGCAGGGCUUGGGCAAAGACCAGUGCUUCCCUACUGUCCCAGCGCACAGCUGCUGAAACACACCUGGGAAGCGGCCGCAUGCCGGGUUAGGUAUCAGACUGCAGGUUUUUGAGGGCUGCAAGCCUGAAUUCAGAACACGUUUUCUGAGAAAAUAUCAGCAAGGGAAGAAGUCCGACAGACCCCAGGCUACAAAUACUCCUCUCCACGAGGACAGUGCACUACGCUCAUAAAUACUCAACUCUCAACUCGUAACUCUUGGCAACCCUGCAGUACCCACGCGCAGCCUGGGAACCAAGGUCACUUACCCACAUGAACCGCCCCCAGGGCAGGGUUCACGCACCAGUACGGAAGGAUAGCCACAGCCAUGAGAGGCAAAGAAUCAUUCCUCAGACUCACCACCCUGGUCACACGUGACGUGUGACACUAGUUGCAUCUGGCCCUCAGCUGGCCUCAGAAAAAUAAUGACUUUCAAAUGACAAAUUUUCUCUAAAUAAAUUUCUACUCAGUAUAGCUGAAAUGCUCAAUAGUUUACCAUUCUCAAGGAUGCCAUUUGGGCCCAUAGAUAAAUUCAUACCGAAAUUCAUGUUGCAAGUUGCAAACUCUGUCGGGAUGUCCCUAACUUCCCAGAACGUGAAAGAAUAAAGUCUGGCUGAGAAACACA